CUUCGGUGAGGAAGUGAUGACGAGUCUGACUAGGGGUGUUGUCUUUAUCCAGGAGGCCUCACUGUGCUGCGUUCUGUGGCACAGCUGAAAGCACUGGCCAAAGAAACAUCCCAAAGAUGACCUACAGAUGUUUGUCUGAGAAGG
Acomys russatus (golden spiny mouse) is the source of this 144-nucleotide small nucleolar RNA. The record is from RefSeq and is a predicted model, not a curated record. NCBI's taxonomy places the organism in Eukaryota, Metazoa, Chordata, Mammalia, Rodentia, Muridae.